CCAACUGUAACACAGCUUUCCUGAAACUGGCAUCAUCUGUGGCCUGUUGGGUGAUGGCACAGUGGGACAUGAAUGUGUGGACUGAUGACCAUGUAGUGACCCUGCAGAUAUCCUGUUGUUGGAUUAAAGUAAUAAUACAUUUAUGUUAAGGGAAAGUGUGAGAAAGAAUGGCCCAGAACAGGCCCCGGAUUUGGCCUGACCAUUAGAAAGGAAUAAGCCUGUCAGUUUACAAGGGCCUGUUCCUGGAUGGUCCUGAGAACCUAGGGGGGCGCUGCAGCCUAAAUUGUUUCCCUGAGGCUGGCGGUGUAGAAAGGCCCAAGGAUCACAGCAUAGCCCUGGAGUCUUUAAGGCUAUGCAGACUGGUGUCUGUCUGGUCCAAGAAUAAUGAGGCUCCCUCAAAUGGGAGAUCCUGGGCCAGCUGCUGAACCUCCUGGGACAGACCUGAAGACUGUCAUCACAAACCACGACUCAUGGCGACCGCUGAUGCCAUUGUUCUGGCCGCCAAAUCUGCAGCAUCGAAAGUCGCCUGGAGAGACGUUGUGGCCAUUAUCUUUCCUUCCUCCAUGAUGGCCCUGAAUUCCUGCUGCAAUUCUUGAGGCAAGGAAUCCUUAAAUUUGGCCAUGGAGUUUUAAACAUUAAAAUUGUAUCUCCCCAGCAGCACCUGCUGGUUUGCAAUAUGAAGUUGAA
This is a long non-coding RNA of Mauremys reevesii (Reeves's turtle), 687 nucleotides long. RefSeq lists it as uncharacterized. The record is from RefSeq and is a predicted model, not a curated record. NCBI's taxonomy places the organism in Eukaryota, Metazoa, Chordata, Testudines, Geoemydidae. The transcript is spliced from 2 exons.